Molecule: signal recognition particle RNA, 88 nt
Filed under: Stenotrophomonas sp. CC22-02
Lineage: Bacteria; Pseudomonadati; Pseudomonadota; Gammaproteobacteria; Lysobacterales; Lysobacteraceae
Description: Bacterial small signal recognition particle RNA
Rfam family: Bacterial small signal recognition particle RNA
About the family: The signal recognition particle (SRP) is a universally conserved ribonucleoprotein involved in the co-translational targeting of proteins to membranes. Archaeal SRP consists of a 7S RNA and homologues of the eukaryotic SRP19 and SRP54 proteins.
Source: RNAcentral
UCGGCCCCUCGCGACGCUAGGUCGAAAAUCCCGCCAGGGCCGGAAGGCAGCAACGGUAUCGAUCGACGCGGGCGCCGAGGUUAGCCGG